AGUUCCUCUGCGCCAAGAAUGGGGCCGUGUGCAGGCGGCGCGCCAGUCAUCAGCAAUGUCGCCACUGCUUAAUACCCUGACGCCAGUCUGUCAGUUAUCACGCAUUCCAAAGCAUUUCUAUCCAUAAAAGAUCUUUACUGACAAAGGGUCCCACGAGCGAAGUUCAGAUUUCACGCGUAACGGUGGAGUGGUAAGAGUGGCUGUGCAAUUCGUCACCUCCUGUGAGCUGGUUUCAGGGAAACUGAGCUUCUGAAUGCUGGGCUGCAAAUGCUCUUGAACCUUCUUAGUGAUAUCAAUGUAUGCUAGGUGAGGGACUUCCGCCUCAUGGCUCUUGCGAUGGUUGACCUUUUCUGAAAGCCGCACAACGACAGUCAGGAAAGACAGCUGUCAGAAUGGGUUAAAUGUGCAGAAUGAUUUCUCUUGUCCGAAUGCUUUUGCAUGAGCUGCACUGACCCCUUGUAUUCUGUUCCAUAUUGAAGAAAAGCGUGCGUGUUCAAGUCUUUUUCUACAUCCAGCAUCAUCUGCCUACCCUAAGAAAAAAGAGAUGUUAACGUUCACCUCUGCGGACGCAGGGCGGCAUUUUGUUUGCUGGUGCUACGUAAACAACCAGAAGUUGAAGGCUUCAAGCAUAAGAAGGAAGUCAGGAGUCGACUUGGAACGCAGGGGAGAAAAGGCAGAAGGAGAGCAGACAACAAGAAAGACUUGGUACGCGAUUCGACCCCACUAUUGUGUAUGACAGCCCCGUGACCCUCCAGUUCAGGGUCAUAGGGCCGAGAGGAAUGCAGCAUGUCCAUUACUUACAUCGGAACAGCCUCUGUUCCGAAUUAACUUCACCUGUGAUGACUGGCACAUGAGAUGGAUUCAUCUGGUAGUUUUGCGACAGUUUUAGGUGCUUGAGCUCUGUAGCCACGCUCUCUUCGAAGACUCGAAUUGCUUCAAUGCAGUCGAAUCCUCGACGCGACUUCGGAGAUGGAGAGCCAAGUGCUCCCUUUUUUCCUGGUAAUUCCGCCAUCUGGUCGGCUAUUGCUUUUUGUCUCAGAGGUCAAACUAGGGAGCGGCACCUAAGUGGUGGGCGGUUGCCGACACGGCCCUGACACUCGCGUUGGCAAAACAACCUCUUUAUUAAUGCAGAUUUCACCC
This 1140-nucleotide long non-coding RNA is filed under the name Toxoplasma gondii VEG. Lineage: Eukaryota; Apicomplexa; Conoidasida; Eucoccidiorida; Sarcocystidae. The record is from RNAcentral.